UUCUUAUUUAAUUUUUCUAAAUCUAACAUUUUUUAGGCAAGAAAAACGUAAAAUUGGUCGUAUUGGCGGAUCUCCGUCAAAGUGGGAGUUCUACAACGAAGUGCAUAAGGUUUUGGGCAGCUUUAAAGCAAACAAUUUAUUUGAAGUAAUGGACGAAAGUUCAAUUGACGAGCCGAAUUGUGAAGAAUCUUUGUUGUUGAAAACGCAUUUGGUCAUCUGAAAGUGCGAUUUCGCAAAAUUGGGAAAGGUUUGAAAGUUAACAUAAAAAAUAUGAACACAAUUAUAAAAGCAUGCUGUAUUAUGCAUAAUAUUGCAACAACAGAAACGAUAACAUCAAUCAGUGUUGGAUUCAGCAGUCAGACAUCCAAAGUAAAUGGCAGCAGCCAAAAAGAAGCAUUUCCGUAAGUGAUACCAAAAACAGUGGAAUUGCUGUAAGAAACGCAUUAAUGACUAAUUUUAUUACCCGUUAGUAUAAUUGUAAUACCAUACAAAUGUACAAAAUAAAUAUAAAAUGUUUAUUUAUUUAUUAACGGUGAAA
Long non-coding RNA from Bactrocera neohumeralis, 538 nucleotides. RefSeq lists it as uncharacterized. Lineage: Eukaryota; Metazoa; Arthropoda; Insecta; Diptera; Tephritidae. The record is from RefSeq and is a predicted model, not a curated record. The transcript is spliced from 2 exons.